GACGAAGUCAUUAAUGGAUAAAUAUAUUUUAUUACGUAAUUACAAAGUCAAGAAAUAUUCUAAAGUUCAAAUGUUCGAAUGUUUACAAACUGUCUUUAAAGUUGAAUUGUUCGAAUGUUCAAUAUCUCACACGGGCACGUGAUCGUAUAGUUUCAAUCCUGAUGAAAUACGUUUGGAUAUUAAGCGCAUAUGUUCCAGCCUACCCACGAGGUGGGAGACCGUGGCGGAAUCUCCGGUACCAAUCCCUUGUACCAAUCCGUCCUCUUCAAGUCCAAAGCUGGAUCUUAUAUAGUCCAGUAGUCCAUUAACAACGGCCCAUAGCUGAUGGCCGGUUACUUAAUAGUCUGGAUGUUAGAUAAUUCUAGUCUGUGGUUAAUUGUCAAACUAACCCCUGAAGGAUACAUGUUAUUUCACAGUAGACAUGGUCAUUUAUUGGCUGCAGGGUAUACAUGGUAUGUCUAUAAUAUUUGAACAGAUCGUUAUUUAAAAAUGUCCAAAGCGUACAUGAUUGUCAUUGAAUUAUUUAAUUCCUUUUUAAUAAAUUCCUAAUUAAUACUCCUUGAUAAUUAAUGAUAUGAAACACAAUUGUGUUACA
RNAcentral lists this long non-coding RNA (595 nucleotides) under Mytilus galloprovincialis (Mediterranean mussel). The record is from RNAcentral. Lineage: Eukaryota; Metazoa; Mollusca; Bivalvia; Mytilida; Mytilidae.